CAGCCGCCCGGUAAUACGUAGGUGGCGAGCGUUAUCCGGAAUUACUGGGUGUAAAGGGAGCGUAGACGGUUAAACAAGUCUGAAGUGAAAUGCCGGGGCUCAACCCCGGAGCUGCUUUGGGAACUGUAGAACUGGAGUGUCGGAGGGGUAAGCGGAAUUCCCAGUGUAGCGGUGAAAUGCGUAGAUAUUGGGAGGAACACCGGCGGCGAAGGCGGCUUACUGGACGACAACUGACGUUGAGGCUCGAAGGCGUGGGUAGCAAACAGGAUUAGAUACCCGUGUAGUCCCUGUCUCUUAUACA
Molecule: ribosomal RNA, 301 nt
Filed under: uncultured bacterium
Lineage: Bacteria
Description: partial 16S ribosomal RNA
Rfam family: Bacterial small subunit ribosomal RNA
Source: RNAcentral